AUUGAACGCUGGCGGCAUGCUUUACACAUGCAAGUCGGACGGCAGCGGGGUAGUGCUUGCACUACUGCCGGCGAGUGGCGAACGGGUGAGUAAUAUAUUGGAACGUACCGAGUAAUGGGGGAUAACCAAUCGAAAGAUUGGCUAAUACCGCAUACGCUCUGAGGAGGAAAGCAGGGGACCUUCGGGCCUUGCGUUAUUCGAGCGGCCAAUAUCUGAUUAGCUAGUUGGUGGGGUAAAGGCCUACCAAGGCGACGAUCAGUAGCGGGUCUGAGAGGAUGAUCGGCCACACUGGGACUGAGACACGGCCCAGACUCCUACGGGAGGCAGCAGUAGGGAAUCUUCGGCAAUGGGGGCAACCCUGACCGAGCAACGCCGCGUGAGUGAAGAAGGUUUUCGGAUCGUAAAGCUCUGUUGUAAGAGAAGAACGAGUGUGAGAGUGGAAAGUUCACGCUGUGACGGUAUCUUACCAGAAAGGGACGGCUAACUACGUGCCAGCAGCCGCGGUAAUACGUAGGUCCCGAGCGUUAUCCGGAUUUAUUGGGCGUAAAGCGAGCGCAGGCGGUUAGAUAAGUCUGAAGUUAAAGGCUGUGGCUUAACCAUAGUACGCUUUGGAAACUGUUUAACUUGAGUGCAGAAGGGGAGAGUGGAAUUCCAUGUGUAGCGGUGAAAUGCGUAGAUAUAUGGAGGAACACCGGUGGCGAAAGCGGCUCUCUGGUCUGUAACUGACGCUGAGGCUCGAAAGCGUGGGGAGCAAACAGG
Molecule: ribosomal RNA, 759 nt
Filed under: uncultured Actinomyces sp.
Lineage: Bacteria; Bacillati; Actinomycetota; Actinomycetes; Actinomycetales; Actinomycetaceae
Description: bacterial SSU rRNA
Rfam family: Bacterial small subunit ribosomal RNA
Source: RNAcentral